AAAGCUUGUGUGGUUUUUAUCUGUCAGUCAUUUCAAUUCCGCAUCAACGCGGUUGAAAAAGUUUCACGAUGAAGAAGCGUGACGAGUUUGAUCAUUCUCGUUUAUUACGAUCUGUAAAUUGGACGAGCCACGAUCUAAUUCUUGUAUAAAGUAACGGCGAAAUGACAUACGAGGAGUCGAUGAUUUCAAGGAAUUGCGCUUUCAAAUUGGGAUAAAGUUUAAAAGAGUCAGACUUAAAGAACGUGUUGAUAUCGACCAAGGGAAACAAAAUCCUGGUUCAUGACGAGUUAUGUCAAUUGCAUCAGACCCAACCGAGUGAAUUUCAUUCACCUUUAAUACAAAAUUGAAGAUUUGAGCAUGCAGUGUAUUCCCGGCCAUGACUGUCAGACAGGUGAGUAUACCAAUUGGUGUGAUGGGUGUUUGAUUAUGUGCACUAGAAGGAUCAAUCACAAGCACGAUUUGCUCAUCACGAUAAAAAUGAACUGCUGUAAAUAGAUGAUUUUUGUAAAAUAUUUAGCACUGUAGUGCUACUGACUUGAGACCCAAUAUGAAAAGCAUAACCCUGUAAGUGGAUUAUUACCGAGAAAAUUAACAUUUGACUAUUUUUUGACAAGCUUGGAAAAAUUUAUGACAGGGAAGCUUUGGUGCUUUCCUAUAAUUUCCUCUUCCGUGCAAAGUAAAUAGAAUUAUGGCGUCAGACGCCGGGGGUUUAGAAGUUGGCGGAACCACCAGGUUUUACAGGUAGCCUUUGUGGAAACAUUGCACCACCAGUUAAAUAUAAUAAAGGGGUGGGAAAAGAGUGGACAAUAAACUUGCUAAAGCUGCA
This is a long non-coding RNA of Stylophora pistillata, 826 nucleotides long. RefSeq lists it as uncharacterized. NCBI's taxonomy places the organism in Eukaryota, Metazoa, Cnidaria, Anthozoa, Scleractinia, Pocilloporidae. The record is from RefSeq and is a predicted model, not a curated record.